RNAcentral lists this long non-coding RNA (290 nucleotides) under Phasianus colchicus (ring-necked pheasant). RNAcentral's name for it is "lncRNA (ENSPCLG00000006649.1)". Lineage: Eukaryota; Metazoa; Chordata; Aves; Galliformes; Phasianidae. The record is from RNAcentral.
UAUCACCAUGCAAUCUCAGAAUCCAACAGUAAGUUUUGACUCUAGUUCCCACCUUUCAGUCUGCUAAAUAUUUCCCAGAUUGCAUAAGACUGUUUACCUUGUGCUGUUCUCUUGUAGGUAAAUCUCUCACCAAUAUUCAUUGCUCCUGAGCAGAAAGCUUACAGACUGCUUUCUCUCUAUUCCAGGAUCCCCCUCCAGGAAAACUAACGUCAUUUGGAAGAGUAUGCACCAGUUCAUCCUCAGUAAGUGAAUAGACUUCUACCACUGUCUUAAAUAGAAUAAAGAGUCAA